Molecule: ribosomal RNA, 306 nt
Filed under: Triticum aestivum (bread wheat)
Lineage: Eukaryota; Viridiplantae; Streptophyta; Magnoliopsida; Poales; Poaceae
Description: partial small subunit ribosomal RNA
Source: RNAcentral
AUGAACCACAUUUUGUUUGCUGAUGACAACUUUUUGUUCUUUGAAUCCAAUACUAAUAGUGCGGUUCACGUCAGUGGUCUCUUGAAAAUAUAUUGUGAUGCCUCUGGCCAAAGAAUAAAUGUGGACAAAUCAUCUAUAUAUGUCAGCAAAGGAGUUUCAGGAAACUUGAGGGGUGAUGUCAAAAAUAUAUUGGAGGUGUAGAAUGAAUCUUUGUCAGAAAAGUACCUAGGUAGUCCCACAGAUGUGGGGAAAUCCAAAAAGGGCUGCUUUAGAUAUAUGAAAGAUAGGGUUUGGAAUCAUGUGUAG